AGCCUUAAGAAUUUUAAUUUAAGGUUAAACCUGCCCAAUGUAGAAUUAUAUUAAUGGCCGCGGUACUUUGACCGUGCUAAGGUAGCGCAAUCAAUUGGCUUUUAAUUGAAGCCAUGUAUGAAUGGAAUCACGGGGUUUAGCUGUCUCCUAAAUAAUUUAUCAAAAUUACUAUUUAGGUGAAAAAGCCUAAAAGAAGAAAAAAGACGAGAAGACCCUAAGAGUUUUUCCUAAAUUAGAAUAAUUCCUAAAACAGUUUAGUUGGGGCAACAUAGGAACAAUAUAAGAACAAUAAUCUCCUGCAAAAAACUUACCGAUUUUAAUAAAUAUGAAUAAACUACCUUAGGGAUAACAGCAUAAUUUUAUAAAUAAGUUUGUGACCUCGAUGUUGGACUAGGAAACUAAAAGGCUAGCCGCCUUU
Molecule: ribosomal RNA, 418 nt
Filed under: Paradoris liturata
Lineage: Eukaryota; Metazoa; Mollusca; Gastropoda; Nudibranchia; Discodorididae
Description: partial large subunit ribosomal RNA
Rfam family: Archaeal large subunit ribosomal RNA
Source: RNAcentral